GAAUCGGAUUAGAAACCCUAGAUCUGACCAAACCCGCCUAGUGUUGGUCCUGCUUCUGAUUUCUCCGCCGUGGGCUGACCAAACCCCACACCCCCGCUCUCUCUCUGGUUGCUUGUGACUCGGCGGAGAGGGACGUCCACCGAGCGACCGUGGAGGAGAGAAGAGAACGGAGGAUGACGGUGUUCCACUUCUUCAACUGCGCCAUCCUCACCUUCGGCCCUCACGCCGUCUACUACUCCGCCACUCCACUAUCAGAGUAUGAUACUAUUGGAACUUCUGCCAAAGCUGCUGCUGUUUAUCUUGGAACAGCACUAGUGAAGCUUGUUUGCCUUGCAACCUUUCUAAAAGAAUCUGAGAAUGGCAAUUUUGAUCCAUAUCAGGAACUGCUGAAAGUAUUGAUCAAUUUUAUAGAUGUUGCUGGACUUUAUUUUGCAUUGACACAGUUGACUCACAGAAACAUCUCUCAAAAUCAUAAAUUUCAGGCUGUUGGACUAGGUUGGGCUUUUGCGGAUUCUGUUUUGCACCGGUUGGCACCUCUUUGGGUUGGAGCUAGAGGAUUGGAAUUUACAUGGGAAUACGUAUUUCAAGGCCUCGAAGCAAAUGCUAAUCUGGUAUUGAAUUUGUCCCUUGCUGCGCUAGGAUCCUUGAUGUGGCUAAGGAAGAACAAGCCCAGAAUCUUGAUUCCAAUCAUUUAUGCAUGUGCGGGGGUUCUUGCAACAAUGCCAUCUAUCACCAGGUUUUAAUCUCUCCUUGCGUUCGUACUUGUUGAAAACAUGAUCAUAGUUCGGGAAUGAAGCAACAUAGAUCAAAUUGCUAUCUAUUUGAGAAGAGCUUUGGGAUGGCAGCCUGCAAAGGCGGUGGGCUUUGAAUUAUUCUCCUCUUUGAUGAUGGCCUUCCUCAGUUGGCAGCUUUUUUCUGCUUGUCAGAGACCGGCCUAACAAGUGGAGAUUGUCGCUGGUUGAGUUAUUUGGUUCGGGAAAGGUUAUCCGCUACCUUUGAAUCUAUUUACCCAGAAAUGAAGCGAAAGAAACUUCAGUAGGCAUGCUUGCGGUGUCUAGGCCUGCUCUUUCGACAUAUCUUUUUGAUAUUACUUUAAUUCUCUGCUUCAGCUGAAUGCACCAUGGAGCAAGCGCAGCGUCCUGUACUUCCAGAUACAUUGUAGUGUAAUUCAAGAGUCGCUUUUGAUCAUGUCUUUAGCUAUGUUGAGUGGGUUAAGUAAAAUUAUUCAGGUAUUGCGACAGCAUUGUAAUUGAUUGCCUGCACCUCAGGUUAUAAAGUUUCAUUUGAUUUUGUGGUUUUAUGAAAUGUAUGGCUAUAUCAUAUCCUUGGCUCAUCCAA
RNA transcript from Elaeis guineensis (African oil palm), 1338 nucleotides. RefSeq lists it as uncharacterized. Lineage: Eukaryota; Viridiplantae; Streptophyta; Magnoliopsida; Arecales; Arecaceae. The record is from RefSeq and is a predicted model, not a curated record.